RNAcentral lists this small nuclear RNA (108 nucleotides) under Schistosoma japonicum. The record is from RNAcentral. Lineage: Eukaryota; Metazoa; Platyhelminthes; Trematoda; Strigeidida; Schistosomatidae.
GUAACUUUCUUCGAUGGUAUAUAUACUAAAAUCGGAAUGAUGCAGGGAAGUUUAGUAUGGCCCAUGCGCAAAUAUGACACAUAAAAUCGUGAAGUGUUCCAUAUUUUA